GCCCACGUGGUGUAAUAGUUUGAGUGUUGGACUGUAACUCUAGAGACCAGGGUUCGAUUCCCAGCUUGGCCA
Molecule: non-coding RNA, 72 nt
Organism: Phrynosoma platyrhinos (Desert horned lizard)
Lineage: Eukaryota; Metazoa; Chordata; Lepidosauria; Squamata; Phrynosomatidae
Source: the annotation of a GenBank genome assembly